This 433-nucleotide ribosomal RNA is filed under the name uncultured bacterium. RNAcentral's name for it is "partial 16S ribosomal RNA". It matches the Rfam family "Bacterial small subunit ribosomal RNA", at positions 29 to 507 of the family's 1533-position model. The record is from RNAcentral.
AGCGAACGCUGGCGGCAGGCCUAACACAUGCAAGUCGAACGAACUCUUCGGAGUUAGUGGCGGACGGGUGAGUAACACGUGGGAACGUGCCUUUAGGUUCGGAAUAACUCAGGGAAACUUGAGCUAAUACCGGAUGUGCCCUUCGGGGGAAAGAUUUAUCGCCUUUAGAGCGGCCCGCGUCUGAUUAGCUAGUUGGUGAGGUAAAGGCUCACCAAGGCGACGAUCAGUAGCUGGUCUGAGAGGAUGAUCAGCCACAUUGGGACUGAGACACGGCCCAAACUCCUACGGGAGGCAGCAGUGGGGAAUCUUGCGCAAUGGGCGAAAGCCUGACGCAGCCAUGCCGCGUGAAUGAUAAAGGUCUUAGGAUUGUAAAAUUCUUUCACCGGGGACGAUAAUGACGGUACCCGGAGAAGAAGCCCCGGCUAACUUCGUG